AAGAGAACAGCCAGGAGUAGGAAGAACAGGUAGCAAAUCUCACCGGGUCUCAAACCGCCAUUGGCACGCCUGCACCACGGUGCUUAACGGCGUGUCUGCGUGCGCGCGUUGGAAGACGCGUGCAUGCAGUCAGUGCGGGACUCUUUGGGCACAGCUCGUUUGCUGUGGCUUGGCGCUAGAGCUGCAGCUUGCUGGCAUACUUGUUAGCCGUCAAUGUGGGCGAGCUUUCUGGAUCAAAUCCAACAGCGGAUUGAAGAUGCUGUGGAUCUCCUCGGCGAUGAGGAGGCGGAAGACGUUGGGCGAGAGGAUGCAGCACGCGUUGUGGUAGCCAGCCCUGCCGCUGACUCGAAGGGCUCCGUACUGCCUCAGCAGUGGGGGCGAGAGCAGCAUGUUUCAGCCGAAAAUUCAGACGGUAACGCUGGUGCAGAAGGAUGGGAGGAGGACGAGCUGAGCGAGCUGGUAAUCCCAUCCGCUCCCCCAGAGCCAGGCUUGCGUGAACCCGCACCGGCAGCAACGGUGCCGCCAGCGCCUCCGACGCUGCCUUCGUCAUCGGCCACACCCGGCUUCUCAGUGUUCAUCCUGCCGCCGAAACCCGCGACGUUGUCUGACCCGACAGACGUGACUCCCUCUGCCACCGCAGCACCUCAGCUGGUGUCAGCUUCACGGGAAACAGGGCAGCAACACCCCAGUGCUGUUCCUAGCGACACCAAUCCCUUGAUAGCAGGGUCACCGCUUAAACCACAAGCGGAGGAGGUCACGACGCCACCUGAGGAGCUUGCAGCACCACCACCCGUUAGCACGUUGUCGGCGGAGUCGCCCUCGCUAGAGGGAGCCGACCUUCAUUCCGGGUUGCUUUAUGCAGAAGGUACCACUGCCGUGACUUCCAACCCGACUUCAGCGUCUUCGGCUGGCAAGCCCAUUUCAUCUACGUCGUUUCCCCCGUCUCCUUCGUUGCCUGCUGCAACCGGACCUUCACCGCCACCGCCGAAGGCGGUGGCGGGGGAGUUCAGCGACAUAGGGCAGCUGCUUCGAUUCCAGCAGCAGUUGGCAGAGGAGAUGGAGAAUGUGGCUAAGCUGCAGCGUCAGAACGCAUCCUUGAAGGACCGCGUCUCUACGCUUGAAGAGCAGCUGGCAGGUGCCACAUCCUCCCUUGCGCGCACUGGGGACAGUGAGCAGCAGAUAUCGCUGCUGAUCGAGAGGCUCGGAAAGGAGAGGGAGAGACACAAGGCACUGGCGGAGGAGCGGAACCAGCUGAAAGAGCACCUGCAGGAUCUUGAAGAAGAGGUAGAAGAGUAUCGCAUUCGGGAAGAGGGCUGGAUAAGUGGGCAGGAGCGGCAACAGGAGAACGAGAUCGCCGCGCAGCAGCGCAUUGCCCAGCUCGAGAAUGACAUGCGUUCUUGCAACGCCAUCGUUGACAACCUCAGAACCCAACUUACGGAAGCGAAGCACCUAAACGGUGUCCUACAGAACCAGGUGGAAGAGCUGAAGGUGAGCUACUCCGCCCAGCUGGAUACCGUAAAGGAGUCGAGCUCCGACACCGUGGAUCAGCUUCGCCAAGAGGUGGAGCAGCUGCGCAGCUCUUUGCAGAAUCUGUCGACAGAGUACGACACGCGAACAGCAGAGCUGGAGAGUGAGGUGCAGAACGCAAACAUGCACGCCCAUCAAGCAGAGGCCCGUCUGAGUGAGAUGGCGCUUGGUUCUGUCAACACACUGCAGGAUCUCCGAAGUGAACUCGAGGAUUCCCAGCGCAGCAGCGCUACCUGGAAGGCUGAGGCGCAGAAAACGCGCCACGAGUAUACGACGCUACUAGAACAGUAUGCAUCACUGAAGCGGUCUCGAGCGGCAGCAGAGGCCGAUUUGCGCGACCGGCUCAGCUACGAGUCUAACACAGUGUCUGCUCUGCGGAAAGGCAUCCGUGAGUGGGAAGAUCGAUAUCUGGCGCUGCAGGAAUCGGUGGGCGCGACGCAGACGGAAAUAGAGGAGCAGCGAAAGACAAUCAUGCAGCUGGAAUCCACAAUUCAAAAACUGAAGGCGUCCGGCGCUGACAUGCUGAGCCAGUCUCAGAGCGAAGUCCUCGUGAGUACGAACGCGCCGCUUGUGAAGGCUUCGUUGUCGGAGCCUUCACUGUCAGGAUCACCUUCGAACGAGAUACUGGGGGCGCGGCUAAUGUCAGCUCCCCCACUGAACCCCUUCAUGAGCAUGAAGCGGCCAGCUUGGAACGAUUCGAGGGACCGCAAAACGCGUGAGCGACUCGAAGAGGAGGUAGUGCGGCAGUCCGCCGAACUGGAGCGCGUCCGGGCCGCAGCCGCUGACGCCGAAGUCUGGAAAGCAAAGUACGAUCGCCUGCAAGAGGAGCACGACUUGCUGCUUCAGCUGUAUGGACAGCUCGAGGAAGAUGUCGGUGCGUUGAGGAAGAACGGCGCUGGGAUUUUGCCUGCUGAUGCUGCCGCUGCCUCUUCCGCUUCCGGCUCUAUAUCUGCCGCUGCUGCGCCUUAGCGUGCUGCACUGAAGAGAUGGCGGAGGAAUCUAAGGGGUGGGGGGCAGAAAGGACAAUUACGGAAGGACAUUGUGCGGUGAAGAGAGGAAGCUGCUUUACAGCAGCGCAUCUUGAGACGGCUGUUGGGUCCAUCUGCUCAAAGGCACCGAGCGUUCAACCGGAGCGAUGGUCUUCUUAUGUUCCUUAUUUCUGUUCAUGGGCUGCCUUUACAGCGUACUUGCAUCUUCCCUCCACCUUUGCCACACUCGCCCCCACUUCUCAUCUGUUUCUGUGCGUACUUCAUGCUGGCACUCGACUUUUCUACUGUGACGCCCCAUUUACCUUGCAAGGGAGAGAAAGGAGGCGGGGGGUGCUCAUGGAGCUGCUUCGAAGUCUCUGGGCACUUGCCAGCCACAGUGCGCUCCUUCAACCCUUGUGCGGCUUCUCGCUACGCCAUUAUGUCGUCGUUUGCGGAGCGUAUAGACAGCGCGGACAUCAACAACAGCCGUAUGGCUGUGCGCAUUGUGUGCAAAAAGUCACAAGCGAGUGGCGCAGACGUGUGCUUUGCCCUCCUGCGCAGUGCGCAUGUGAUGAUGACGGUUGCUACGAACAAAAAAGAUAAGGGAGAAUUGUCAGUGGUGCUGCUUGGGGUACCCUCUGGAUAUUCCUUUUUUUUUUCACCUUAUCACUCCUGCACUGUGUCUUGUCCCCCUCCCCCCUCCUGCGUCAUCCUCUCAAGUAGUGAUGGUUGGCGGUAGAGGUGCUGGUGCCGAUACCCCUGCUGCUUUCCUCAUCCUCGUUUAUUCCUCACCGCUGUUCUCUAUCUGGCACUCUCAACCCUGUCUCGUUGCCUUUGACUCCCGAGGACGGCGAGGCCCUUACCUCUCUGUCUCUCUCGCUCUCGAUGCACCAUACCGCUUGAAG
This 3400-nucleotide unclassified non-coding RNA is filed under the name Leishmania donovani. RNAcentral describes it as "gene:LdHU3.13.0530(CDS-product:hypothetical_prote in_conserved)". The record is from RNAcentral. Lineage: Eukaryota; Euglenozoa; Kinetoplastea; Trypanosomatida; Trypanosomatidae.